This 1081-nucleotide long non-coding RNA is filed under the name Homo sapiens (human). Its description in RNAcentral is "HSALNT0075930". Lineage: Eukaryota; Metazoa; Chordata; Mammalia; Primates; Hominidae. The record is from RNAcentral.
CUCACUUGGAACAAACUCUUAAUCCCUUGCAUAAAUUUUCUUCUAACAGAAACGUCAUAGACUCCGUGGAAGCCCACCACCCGUUCCAGUCUGGAGAUCAAGUGCUGCAGAAAGAAUGGAAGGAAGCUGGUCCUGCCCAACAACUACAAGAGAAAUAGAAAGAGCCCUAUGAUGGGCUGUUGACUACCGACUCAGCACUGAAACUAGCAGGCAUCAAACCUUGGGUUCAUCAUAUGUGGGUGCUACCCCUAAGACUCCGAAAUGAAAAAUACUUCAGAGAACAGGUGGACCUCUUCCACUCCAACCCCAAGUUCAAGAACCCCUGAUGACGACCCCUCUCAGCAGGAAGUAGCCAGAAUUAUCACAACAUCCAGUACCCCAGCAGCUCCUCUGGCACAAGCAUGACAGAAAUCAUGCACAAAUUGACAGUGGGGAUUCUGGCAGCCCAAUUCUCCUUGACAAUCACACAGAAAAGUCUGUAUGACAAUCACACAGACAGGCCUGCGUAGCACUUCAGUUACACAGACUAAGUUCCACAGAGCUGCCUUAACAUUGAGCAAAUAGUUAAACCUAGGGAAAUCAGUGCCCAGACAUCAAAGCUAGAAAUGAAACGUAUGGUCAGUAGGAGCCUUGCAUGGGCUUCUCCGUAACCUAGAGCAAACCAAAAUAAAGAGACAGUCUUGCAUUUCUAGUGCCAGGACCCAUCUCGGGUCGAUGAAAUCUGAGAUGAGUCAAGGCAUGAGAGGCAGCUGUUUGAAUAAAUUCAUUGGAGCGCCUAAGGCAGAUCUCCAGACCAAGCUGUAAGGGAGAUAAGAUAGAAGUCAUCACUGUUGUACCACAGUAGACAGGCCUUGAAGGUACUGGGCCCUUUUAAUCAGACUUAGCAAGCAUUUUUGUCUCUGAUCUUCUAGUCGAAGCAAAAUUAGUUACCAAUAGGCUUAGGCAAACGCUAUACUGCAUGUAGGCACAUAACCCCAACCUAUAUAAGCACUAAGAAAAUUGUAACACUCUGAGUUGGUCUGGUGGAAUUAUCUCCGGCCUUCUCCCUGUAUCCAGUUACAGCAAUAAAUUCCAUUCUUCC